RNAcentral lists this ribosomal RNA (406 nucleotides) under uncultured bacterium. RNAcentral's name for it is "partial 16S ribosomal RNA". It matches the Rfam family "Bacterial small subunit ribosomal RNA", at positions 30 to 526 of the family's 1533-position model. The record is from RNAcentral.
AUUGAACGCUGGCGGCAGGCUUAACACCUGCAAGUCGAGCGAGCGGCGGACGGGUGAGUAAUGUCUGGGAAACUGCCUGAUGGAGGGGGAUAACUACUGGAAACGGUAGCUAAUACCGCAUACCAUCAGAUGUGCCCAGAUGGGAUUAGCUAGUAGGUGGGGUAAUGGCUCACCUAGGCGACGAUCCCUAGCUGGUCUGAGAGGAUGACCAGCCACACGGGAACGGAGGCACGGUCCAGACUCCUACGGGAGUCAGAAGUGGGGAAUAUUGCACAAUGGGCGCAAGCCUGAUGCAGCCAUGCCGCGUGUAUGAAGAAGGCCUUCGGGUUGUAAAGUACUUUCAGCGAGGAGGCGUUACUCGCAGAAGAAGCACCGGCUAACUCCGUGCCAGCAGCCGCGGUAAUAC